RNAcentral lists this ribosomal RNA (477 nucleotides) under uncultured bacterium. RNAcentral describes it as "partial 16S ribosomal RNA". It matches the Rfam family "Bacterial small subunit ribosomal RNA", at positions 28 to 506 of the family's 1533-position model. The record is from RNAcentral.
GAUGAACGCUAGCGGCAGGCCUAACACAUGCAAGUCGAGGGAGAAGCCCUUUCGGGGGCAGAAACCGGCGCACGGGUGCGUAACGCGUAUGCAACCUACCUUUCACAGGGGGAUAGCCCGAAGAAAUUUGGAUUAAUACCCCAUAAUAUUAUUGGAUGGCAUCAUUUGAUAAUUAAAACUGCGGUGGUGAAAGAUGGGCAUGCGUCCUAUUAGCUAGUUGGAGUGGUAACGGCACCCCAAGGCUACGAUAGGUAGGGGUCCUGAGAGGGAGAUCCCCCACACGGGGAUAGGGAAAGGGACACCAGACCCACGGGGGGAGGCAGAGAGGAAAAUUGUGGAAAGGGGGGGAAACUGAAACCGCCCCACCGCGUGGAGAAAAAAAGCGUUUUGGGUGUUAAAAUCUGUUUUUAUGGGGAAAAAAAGGGGUAUGUGUGUGGUUAUGAGGGGACCAAAGGAAAAAAAACCGGGUAAAACCCU